GGGUUUUGUUUUGGCUGGGGGUAGCAAGCAGUUUGAAUGAGAGGACUGUUGUGACGUACGCUCGUUCUUUCUCUUCCGCCAUGGGGCGAGGAAAAGGCGGGAAACAAACACCUCAAGCCGGGCUUAGCCCUUCGGCCUCCUUUAGUGCCGCACCUCUUUCGGCUUCAUGGAAGUCUCACAGAAUGGCGGGGAGAUGCUGCAGAAGUUCAGUAAACUGGAAGAAAAUAUGCUUCUCUAAAGUGUAUUGUAUCAUAAUGGAUAAAGUGAUUGGAAAGAAAGGAGGGAGAGGAAAUGGAAAAAUACAUGGAAGAUUGGUACCUAUGGUGAAAAGACUGCAGGACAACAGAGAAGAAGUGGAGACUCUGGAGCGGGCAAUUCGGAAUAAUCAAUGAGGCUCUUUCAGGCUCAAGGAUUGGACUGCUGAGAUCGCUGGCUGGAGCUGAGUUAGAUGGUGCCUUAAAUACAGGUUGCAGAAAGUCAGUGGCAGAACCCAAAAAUAAAAAUUAAAAUUGAGUGGGACACAAAAA
Long non-coding RNA from Hemicordylus capensis (graceful crag lizard), 527 nucleotides. RefSeq lists it as uncharacterized. Lineage: Eukaryota; Metazoa; Chordata; Lepidosauria; Squamata; Cordylidae. The record is from RefSeq and is a predicted model, not a curated record. The transcript is spliced from 5 exons.